This is a long non-coding RNA of Heterocephalus glaber (naked mole-rat), 1195 nucleotides long. The record is from Ensembl. NCBI's taxonomy places the organism in Eukaryota, Metazoa, Chordata, Mammalia, Rodentia, Bathyergidae.
AUUUUCCUCCAGAACUCUGCCCCUUCUCUCUGUUUCUGCCUCCUAGCAUUUUUCCUUGGAGGUUGGGGAGAAAUUUGUUUUCCUAAAUGUUGGAGCAGGUGGUGUUACUUAAGACACAACCUAAAAUUUUUCCUACAUAGUCUUUAUUAUGGCUUGAAUUGUGCCCCGCAAAUAGAUGUGUUAAAAUCCUGAUCUCCUGGACCUCAGAACGUGGCCUCAUUUGUAAAUGGGCCACUGCAGAUGAAAUCAAGUUUCAUGGAAUGUCACACUCUGGAUACCUCGGAUGUAAUGAAUCGCCUAUGGAGAACACUCAAGUCGUUUCCAGUUUCUAACUAGAGGAAACACUGUAGCAGGACGCCUCCCCUUCAGUCAUCUUUGAGCUCCUAGGUAGUGUAGCAUAGUCACAGCAUCAUGAAGACAAAGACCUGGACAUCUUUGGGAGCCAUUAUUCUGCCAACCAUGGACUCUGAGCUCUGAAGGCAGAAAGAACAUCUUAUUCCUGCUGGAUUUCAGUCUCCAGGACAUGGUGAGCACUCAGUAACUGGUUACCAGCGGAAACCUUGCUUUUGGUCUGUGUUGGUCUUGCAAGUUGGAUAGAGAGGACCCUUGAGUGCCACCAGAAGGUACAUUGUUAUUUCCCUACCUGUCCUCUCCCCACUGUAAGCUUCUUUCCCGAAGCACCAUUUUUAUUCUGAGGACGUUGAAUAACAGGUGUUUGGGGCAGAGAGCAUGCCAUCAUCCAUCUAUCCCUGACCCAGGGCCAGGCACACUUUUGCAACUCUGCAUGUGUGUUGAGUGGAUCAGAACCCCCACUGGGGCAGAAAUGCUGAAAGCAAGGUGUCCUGCAGGCCCGGAGUGGGACGGGAGCACUAGAGGCCAGCUGGGAUGGCUGCUGAGGCAGACAGUACAGCCCCGCCAGGCCAGCAGAGAGAAGGUGACCUUAGGUUUGGGGAGUCAGGUCCAGCAGGAAGUCAGCCAUGUGCAACAGGGCAGCCCUGACAAGGACAGCAAGAGAGGCAGGGGGACCAGGUGAGCUCAAGAUCCUGGGUGCAGGGGGAGUUGAAACUGAAGCACACACCAGGAACCUGCAGGAAACAGCACCAGGCUCAACCUGGGCAGGACCCAUGCCAGCCCCCCAAGUUUACCUUCUAUGGGGAGGAUGGGCUCAGCCUCACUACGAGCUCCUGGACAAGGG